CCAAAUGGGCCAGUGCAAAUCCUACUUGGAUAACUGUGGUAAUUCCAGAGCUAAUACAUGCAACUGAUAUCCCGAAGGCGGUGUUUGUUCUUGCUUGUCUUGCGCUUUCGCUGCUCUGACGGAUGCUUUUAUUAGACCAAGCCGCUGAGGACUUGAGGGUUCGCGCUCUCUUGUUUGACUCGUGUGAUGGUGACUCUGGAUAACCAAAUUCUGACAAGCGCACGUACUUCUCUUCUGAGCGAGACGGCGCUGCCACUUUCGAGUGUCUGCCUUAUCAGCUAUCAACCGUUCGUUAUGCGCGACCGAUGGCUUUGACGGGUAACGGGGAAUCAGGGUUCGAUUCCGGAGAGGCAGCCUGAGAGACGGCUACCACGUCCAAGGACGGCAGCAGGCACGCAAAUUACCCAAUCCCAGCAAAUGGGGGAGGUAGUGACGAAAUCUAACGAUGCGGGCGCCCUUUCUGGGGCCCCGCAAUCGGAAUGGGCACUUUCUAAACAACCUGUUGAGAACCUACUGAAGG
This 520-nucleotide ribosomal RNA is filed under the name Garjajewia sarsi. RNAcentral describes it as "bacterial SSU rRNA". It matches the Rfam family "Eukaryotic small subunit ribosomal RNA", at positions 117 to 554 of the family's 1831-position model. Lineage: Eukaryota; Metazoa; Arthropoda; Malacostraca; Amphipoda; Acanthogammaridae. The record is from RNAcentral.